RNAcentral lists this Y RNA (114 nucleotides) under Microcebus murinus (gray mouse lemur). RNAcentral's name for it is "Y RNA (ENSMICG00000044810.1)". It matches the Rfam family "Y RNA". From Rfam's summary of the family: Y RNAs are components of the Ro ribonucleoprotein particle (Ro RNP), in association with Ro60 and La proteins. The Y RNAs and Ro60 and La proteins are well conserved, but the function of the Ro RNP is not known. In humans the RNA component can be one of four small RNAs -- hY1, hY3, hY4 and hY5. Lineage: Eukaryota; Metazoa; Chordata; Mammalia; Primates; Cheirogaleidae. The record is from Rfam by way of RNAcentral.
GGUUGGUCUGAAGGUUGUGAGUUAUCUUAUUUGAUGGUUCACAAUCAGUUACAGAUUGAACUCCUGGAUCUACUACUUUCCUCCCUUCUCACUACUGCACUUGACUAGUCUUUA